ACGGUUAUAAAUCAACAUAUUGAUUUAUAAGCAUGGAAAUCCCCUGAGUGAAACAACGAAUUGCUGUGUGUAGUCUUUGCCCGUCUCCCACGAUGGGCUUUUUUUUUA
Molecule: non-coding RNA, 108 nt
Filed under: Salmonella enterica
Lineage: Bacteria; Pseudomonadati; Pseudomonadota; Gammaproteobacteria; Enterobacterales; Enterobacteriaceae
Also listed under: 5 other names
Description: antisense sRNA RprA
Rfam family: RprA RNA
About the family: Translational regulation of the stationary phase sigma factor RpoS is mediated by the formation of a double-stranded RNA stem-loop structure in the upstream region of the rpoS messenger RNA, occluding the translation initiation site. Clones carrying rprA (RpoS regulator RNA A) increased the translation of RpoS.
Source: RNAcentral